Molecule: ribosomal RNA, 253 nt
Filed under: uncultured bacterium
Lineage: Bacteria
Description: partial 16S ribosomal RNA
Rfam family: Bacterial small subunit ribosomal RNA
Source: RNAcentral
UACGUAGGGUGCAAGCGUUAAUCGGAAUUACUGGGCGUAAAGCGUGCGUAGGCGGCUAUGUAAGACAGAUGUGAAAUCCCUGGGCUUAACCUAGGAACUGCAUUUGUGACUGCAUUGCUAGAGUGUGGUAGAGGGAGAUGGAAUUCCGCAUGUAGCAGUGAAGUGCGUAGAUAUGCGGAGGAACACCAAUGGCGAAGGCAAUCUCCUGGACCUGCACUGACGCUCAUGCACGAAAGCGUGGGGAGCAAACAGG